UACGUAGGUGGCAAGCGUUGUCCGGAUUUACUGGGCGUAAAGGGAGCGUAGGCGGAUACUUAAGUGGGAUGUGAAAUACCUGGGCUUAACUUGGGUGCUGCAUUCCAAACUGGGUGUCUAGAGUGUUGGAGAGGAAAGUGGAAUUCCUAGUGUAGCGGUGAAAUGCGUAGAGAUUAGGAAGAACACCAGUGGCGAAGGCGACUUUCUGGACAAUAACUGACGCUGAGGCUCGAAAGCGUGGGGAGCAAACAGGAUUAGAUACCCUGGUAGUCCACGCCGUAAACGAUGGGUACUAGGUGUAGGAGGUAUCAACUCCUCCUGUGCCGCCGUUAACACAAUAAGUACCCCGCCUGGGGAGUACGGUCGCAAGAUUAAA
RNAcentral lists this ribosomal RNA (376 nucleotides) under uncultured bacterium. Its description in RNAcentral is "bacterial SSU rRNA". It matches the Rfam family "Bacterial small subunit ribosomal RNA", at positions 524 to 898 of the family's 1533-position model. The record is from RNAcentral.